This 30-nucleotide non-coding RNA is filed under the name Mus musculus (house mouse). Lineage: Eukaryota; Metazoa; Chordata; Mammalia; Rodentia; Muridae. The record is from RNAcentral.
UGCCACAAAGCAAAGGAUGUAAUUAAGGUC